Molecule: long non-coding RNA, 344 nt
Organism: Erythranthe guttata (spotted monkey flower)
Lineage: Eukaryota; Viridiplantae; Streptophyta; Magnoliopsida; Lamiales; Phrymaceae
Source: RefSeq, a predicted model, not a curated record
AUUAAACAACCUUAAUUCCAUCGACUGUUAGGGCAACAAUUAAAAUUCAAUGAAUCCUACGACAAACAAAGUACGGAAUCCCCUGAAUCUACCUUAGGUUUUUUGCUCUACGACACAGAUCUGGCUUCAAAUAUGUGCAAAUUUGGUGGAUAUGGAGCUGAUUAGAGAGCCCGGUUUAUCGAAAAAUUUGGGUGAUUAUAUUCAGUUCUUGAAGGCUAUGUUUCAAGUCAGUUCGCACCAGAAUAUCUGCUCUACGGUCAGCUAGGCGUUUUGCGUGUAAGUUCUCUUGCAAUUUAAACUUGUUAGAACUGUAUUCAUGGUACCAAAACUUGCGUAAGCAAACA